Molecule: non-coding RNA, 45 nt
Filed under: Schistosoma mansoni
Lineage: Eukaryota; Metazoa; Platyhelminthes; Trematoda; Strigeidida; Schistosomatidae
Source: RNAcentral
AUUUUGCUGAUGAGUCCCAUAUUGAACGAAACGGAUGUCCUGGAU